Molecule: ribosomal RNA, 440 nt
Filed under: uncultured Phenylobacterium sp.
Lineage: Bacteria; Pseudomonadati; Pseudomonadota; Alphaproteobacteria; Caulobacterales; Caulobacteraceae
Description: bacterial SSU rRNA
Rfam family: Bacterial small subunit ribosomal RNA
Source: RNAcentral
CCUACGGGGGGCAGCAGUGAGGAAUCUUGCGCAAUGGGGGAAACCCUGACGCAGCCAUGCCGCGUGAAUGAUGAAGGUCUUAGGAUUGUAAAAUUCUUUCAGCGGGGACGAUAAUGACGGUACCCGCAGAAGAAGCCCCGGCUAACUUCGUGCCAGCAGCCGCGGUAAUACGAAGGGGGCUAGCGUUGCUCGGAAUUACUGGGCGUAAAGGGCGCGUAGGCGGAUGUUUAAGUCAGAGGUAAAAGCCCAGGGCUCAACCUUGGAACUGCCUUUGAUACUGGACAUCUUGAGUACGGGAGAGGUGUGUGGAACUCCGAGUGUAGAGGUGAAAUUCGUAGAUAUUCGGAAGAACACCAGUGGCGAAGGCGACACACUGGCCCGUUACUGACGCUGAGGCGCGAAAGCGUGGGGAGCAAACAGGAUUAGAUACCCCAGUAGUC